UGCCCAGCAACUUCUAUCCCUACCUCCUCCCUACCUCCACGCGGUACCGGCCGGAAACUAUGAGCAACCUUAGGGAAGAUCGGGUAACCAACCCCGGUGGGAACUUUGGUCGUAGGCUGACAGGGAAGG
Non-coding RNA from Aedes albopictus (Asian tiger mosquito), 129 nucleotides. The record is from Rfam. Lineage: Eukaryota; Metazoa; Arthropoda; Insecta; Diptera; Culicidae.